GUAAGUAUAGUUUAAUUAAAAUAUUAGAUUGUGAUUCUAAAGACAGGUGUUAAAAUCCCCUUAUUUACC
Molecule: transfer RNA, 69 nt
Filed under: Onychostoma barbatulum
Lineage: Eukaryota; Metazoa; Chordata; Actinopteri; Cypriniformes; Cyprinidae
Description: tRNA-His
Rfam family: tRNA
About the family: Transfer RNA (tRNA) molecules are approximately 80 nucleotides in length.
Source: RNAcentral